UUUCUCUUUAGUGAUUCUCGGCAUGUACAAGAAGCUUCGACUGUUGCAUCCACCAGUAAAGCARUUAAGACUAGCGCCGAGCAAGAAUUUAAUAGUAGCGAAAGUGAGUUUGAUAUCGAUAGUGACAGCGAUUGGAAAGUCACCGAGAACGAUAUAUUUAAAAAAGAUACGCAAUAUACAAACAUCCAAGCAUCUCAAUCCAGAGAGGAAAUUUUGAGUGCUGUCAAGAAUGGUGAUGAUGCAAAAGACCAAGCUGAUGCAAAAUCGAAGAGGAAGAAAAGCCAAAGGGGAAAACAGACAGCUAAAUCGAAAAUGUCGAGUAUUUUAGAGUCCCUUCCUGCCCUCAUACAGAAUGCAAACUCGGCAGCCAAAGACCAUAGCAAGGCCGUGAAGACAUGGAUGCAAAUAGAUAGUUCAGACUCAGAUUAACCAUUCAUUUYUUUCAUGUGUUCUUAACUAACCUAUUUAAAAGUCUUGAAAAGAAAGAUGAAUUAAAAAUUGAUUUAGAAUUAGAA
Molecule: long non-coding RNA, 515 nt
Organism: Actinia tenebrosa (Australian red waratah sea anemone)
Lineage: Eukaryota; Metazoa; Cnidaria; Anthozoa; Actiniaria; Actiniidae
Source: RefSeq, a predicted model, not a curated record